AGGACGAACGCUGGCGGCGUGCUUAACACAUGCAAGUCGAGCGGAAAGGCCCUUCGGGGUACUCGAGCGGCGAACGGGUGAGUAACACGUGAGUAACCUGCCCCUAGCUCCGGGAUAGCUCCGGGAAACCGGAAUUAAUACCGGAUGUGAUCACGGCCGACAUCGGCCACGAUGGAAAAGAUUUAUCGGCUAGGGAUGGGCUCGCGGCCUAUCAGCUUGUUGGUGGGUAAUCGGCCUACCAAGGCGACGACGGGUAG
RNAcentral lists this ribosomal RNA (257 nucleotides) under uncultured bacterium. Its description in RNAcentral is "partial small subunit ribosomal RNA". It matches the Rfam family "Bacterial small subunit ribosomal RNA", at positions 26 to 286 of the family's 1533-position model. The record is from RNAcentral.